CAUAGCGACUAUCGUGGCAUAUCAAUAAGCGGAGGAAAAGAAACUAACAAGGAUUCCCUUAGUAACGGCGAGUGAAGCGGGAAGAGCUCAAAUUUGAAAUCUUCAAGGUUCUACCUUGACGAAUUGUAGUUUAUAGAAGUGUUUUCUGUUAGUGGAGUGGCAAAAGUUCUUUGGAAUAGGACAUCAUAGAGGGUGAGAAUCCCGUAUUUGGUCAUUCCUCCUAGCGUUGUGAUACACUUUCAACGAGUCGGAUUGCUUGGGAAUGCAGUCCAAAAUGGGUGGUAAAUUUCAUCUAAAGCUAAAUAUUGGCGAGAGACCGAUAGCGAACAAGUACCGUGAGGGAAAGAUGAAAAGAACUUUGAAAAGAGAGUUAAACAGUACGUGAAAUUGUCAAAAGGGAAGCGUUUGACACCAGUGUUGUUUUUCCGAAAAUCAAUUACGAAUGUUUUAUUUUUGAGGAAGUUAUGACUUCAUCGGCUUGCUCACUUCUUUAUGAAACUUUCUUAAUGCACUUUUCGGUUAACAAGUCAACAUCAAUUUCUUUUGUUGUAAAAGGGUAUGAGGAAGGUGGCUUUCUUUUCGGAGAAAGGUGUUUAUAGCCUUGUGACCUCUACAAUCGGAGAGGAUUGAGGUCUGCAGCGUAGAUCCUUCGGGGUUAGAUACAGUUUGUGCUAAGUUAUAGCUUUUCAUAGACAACUUGUUGACUAUGUUAGUCUUGUAGCUUACUCGCUGAUGCUAUUUUACCUACGCUUAGGAUGUUGACGAGACUGUCGAUCUC
Molecule: ribosomal RNA, 778 nt
Filed under: uncultured Neocallimastigales
Lineage: Eukaryota; Fungi; Neocallimastigomycota; Neocallimastigomycetes; Neocallimastigales
Description: partial large subunit ribosomal RNA
Rfam family: Eukaryotic large subunit ribosomal RNA
Source: RNAcentral